RNAcentral lists this transfer RNA (75 nucleotides) under Actinomycetota bacterium. RNAcentral describes it as "tRNA-Asn". It matches the Rfam family "tRNA". From Rfam's summary of the family: Transfer RNA (tRNA) molecules are approximately 80 nucleotides in length. Their secondary structure includes four short double-helical elements and three loops (D, anti-codon, and T loops). The record is from RNAcentral. Lineage: Bacteria; Bacillati; Actinomycetota.
UGGACGGUAGCUCAACGGCAGAGCAUCCCGCUGUUAACGGGAGGGUUGCAGGUUCGAUCCCUGCUCGUCCAGCCA